RNAcentral lists this ribosomal RNA (1251 nucleotides) under Triticum aestivum (bread wheat). RNAcentral describes it as "partial small subunit ribosomal RNA". Lineage: Eukaryota; Viridiplantae; Streptophyta; Magnoliopsida; Poales; Poaceae. The record is from RNAcentral.
AUGAAGCAGCUCAAGCCUCGGCGAGUGGGCGCCGGGGACGAGGAGGCGGCGGCGGGGGUGGUGGUGCCGCCGGCGCCGCGCAAGGACUACUGCUGCUGGUCGUCGUGGUGCCUUUUGAAGGCCUUGACCCUGCUGCUGGUGCUCCUCACGGGCGUGCUCAUCGGCUUCGGCGCCAGCGCCAACAUCUCCCGCUACUACUACUACACCUUGUUAACGGGCACGAGCACGUCGUCUAGCUCGCCGCCGUCGCUGAUCUCGAGCAACAGCCCGACGCCGCCGUCGACGCUGGCCAUGUCGUCGGAGCAGCACAUCAGCCAGCCGUUCAUGUCGUUCGUGCACCCGGGGUCGCCGGAGGGGCACUCGAUGACGGACGCGGAGCUCUUCUGGCGCGCCUCCAUGGUGCCGCGGGUGGAGGAGUACCCGUACCAGCGGGUGCCCAAGGUGGCGUUCCUGUUCCUGACGCGCGGGCCACUGCCGUUCGCCCGGCUGUGGGAGCGCUUCUUCCGGGGGCACGAGGGGCUCUACUCGGUGUACGUGCACGCGCUGCCGGAGUACGUGCUCAACGUGUCGGCGACGUCGCCCUUCUACGGCAGGCAGAUCCCCAGCCGGGACGUGUCGUGGGGGUCCAUCACCCUCGUCGACGCCGAGAAGCGGCUGCUCGCCAACGCUCUCCUCGACCACUCCAACCAGCGGUUCGUGCUGGUGUCGGAGAGCUGCGUGCCGGUGUUCAACUUCCCGACGGUGUACGAGUACCUCAUCAACUCGGCGCACAGCUACGUGGAGUCGUACAACAUCGACGUGCCGCAGUGCGCGGGGCGGUACAACCCGCGGAUGGCCCCCGACGUGACGGAGCAGCAGUGGCGCAAGGGGUCGGAGUGGUUCGAGCUCAGCCGGGAGCUGGCGGUGGACAUCGUGGCGGACCGGCGCUACUACCACGUCUUCCGCAUGCACUGCACCCCCUCCUGCUACCCCGACGAGCACUACAUCCCGACCUACCUCCACCUCGUGCACGGGCCGCGCAACGCCAACCGGACCAUCACAUGGGUCGACUGGUCACGCGGCGGCCCGCACCCGGCCCGCUACGGCAAGGCCUCCGUCACAAAGGAGUUCAUACAGGCCAUACGCAACAACGGCACCCAGUGCCUCUACAACGGACGGCCCACCACCGUGUGCUACCUCUUCGCAAGAAAGUUCGCGCCCAGCGCGCUCGGCACGCUCAUCAACCUCACCACCACCCUACUCGACUUCUGA